GUGGAUAGUUUUUGUACAGAACGCUUGAGAAGUAACGCGGAACGCUUUCAAAGCGAGGAAUUUUAGCAGCUUCUUGCGCCGGGUCCGUUUACUUACUACAAACAAUGGGUACUAUGUACGCCGGUCGUUUUCUCAUUUUCGAGAGA
RNAcentral lists this small RNA (146 nucleotides) under Pseudomonas syringae. Its description in RNAcentral is "Pseudomonas sRNA P14". It matches the Rfam family "Pseudomonas sRNA P14". Lineage: Bacteria; Pseudomonadati; Pseudomonadota; Gammaproteobacteria; Pseudomonadales; Pseudomonadaceae. The record is from RNAcentral. RNAcentral also lists the same sequence under 5 other names.